This 253-nucleotide ribosomal RNA is filed under the name uncultured bacterium. RNAcentral's name for it is "partial 16S ribosomal RNA". It matches the Rfam family "Bacterial small subunit ribosomal RNA", at positions 524 to 776 of the family's 1533-position model. The record is from RNAcentral.
UACGUAGGGGGCAAGCGUUGUCCGGAAUCAUUGGGCGUAAAGCGCGCGCAGGCGGCCUUUUAAGUCUGAUGUGAAAGCCCACGGCUCAACCGUGGAAGGUCAUUGGAAACUGAAAGGCUUGAGUACAGAAGAGGAAAGCGGAAUUCCACGUGUAGCGGUGAAAUGCGUAGAGAUGUGGAGGAACACCAGUGGCGAAGGCGGCUUUCUGGUCUGUAACUGACGCUGAGGCGCGAAAGCGUGGGGAGCAAACAGG